GUCACUUCAUUUUCACAUAAAAGAAAAGUAGGGCAUGGGGAGUAUCACAAUUCUACGAAGAUCGUGAUACUCCAUGACACCCACAUCACAAUAGUUUUAAGGUCAUUGAUUGAUCACAGACUAGAUAGAACCGUGAUUAAGGAUCACGGCCCUAUGGGGUCCGUAAAGCACAUUUUGAGCAAAAAUAAAAAAAUAGCGGCAAAAUGGGUAUGGCCACAUAUUUCAAAGAAUCUUGGUAUUAUUUAAGUUUUUUGGAGAAACGUGAUAUUUUUUAUAAUUACCCAAAAAAUUUAAUAAUU
Molecule: long non-coding RNA, 299 nt
Filed under: Amborella trichopoda
Lineage: Eukaryota; Viridiplantae; Streptophyta; Magnoliopsida; Amborellales; Amborellaceae
Description: long non-coding RNA (ATRI_LNC004618)
Source: RNAcentral